AGCGAACGCUGGCGGCAGGCCUAACACAUGCAAGUCGAACGAACUCUUCGGAGUUAGUGGCGGACGGGUGAGUAACUCGUGGGAACGUUCCUUUUUGCUCGGAACAACUCAGGGAAACUUGUGCUAAUACCGAAUGUGUCCUUCGGGGGAAAGAUUUAUCGCCAUUACAGCGGCCCGCGUCUGAUUAGCUAGUUGGUGAGGUAACGGCUCACUAAGGCGACGAUCAGUAGCUGGUCUGAGAGAAUGACCAGACACACUGGGACUGAGACACGGCCCAGAAUCCUACGAGAGGCAGCAGUGGGGAAUCUUGAGCAAUGGGCGAAAGCCUGACGAAGCCAUGCCGGGUGAAUAAUGAAGGUCUUAGGAUUAUAAAAUUCUUUCACCGGCAACGAUAAUGACGGUACCCGAAGAAGAAGCCCCGGCUAACUUCGUG
This 433-nucleotide ribosomal RNA is filed under the name uncultured bacterium. Its description in RNAcentral is "partial 16S ribosomal RNA". It matches the Rfam family "Bacterial small subunit ribosomal RNA", at positions 29 to 507 of the family's 1533-position model. The record is from RNAcentral.